This 254-nucleotide ribosomal RNA is filed under the name uncultured bacterium. RNAcentral's name for it is "partial 16S ribosomal RNA". It matches the Rfam family "Bacterial small subunit ribosomal RNA", at positions 524 to 776 of the family's 1533-position model. The record is from RNAcentral.
UACGGGGGGGGGCUAGCGUUGUUCGGAAUUACUGGGCGUAAAGGGCGCGUAGGCGGUCUGCUAAGUUGGAUGUGAAAACUCUGGGCUUAACCCAGAGCCUGCAUUCAAUACUGACAGGCUAGAGUUCUGGAGGGGAUAGCGGAAUUCCUGGUGUAGCGGUGAAAUGCGUAGAUAUCCGGAGGAACACCGGUGGCGAAGGCGGCUUCCUGGACCGACACUGACGCUGAGGCGCGAAAGCUAGGGGAGCAAACGGG